Long non-coding RNA from Felis catus (domestic cat), 3878 nucleotides. RefSeq lists it as uncharacterized. The record is from RefSeq and is a predicted model, not a curated record. The transcript is spliced from 3 exons. Lineage: Eukaryota; Metazoa; Chordata; Mammalia; Carnivora; Felidae.
UUAAGGAAUCUAUUCCUGAAAUCGUUGUUACACUAUAUGCUAACUAACUUGCAUGUAAAAUUUAAAAAAUAAAUUAAAAACAAAUAAAAAAACUGAUCUUUAUUCAUCUCAUAGACAAUACAGGAUAAUAAAGGAAUUUGUAUACAUCACUAUGCCACAAGUUUGGUAAUUUAGAUAAAAUGGAGCAAUUGGGCAAAACUACCAACACUCAAACAAGAAGAGCUAGAUAAUCUGACUAUGGUGAUAUCUAUUAACAGUUUUGAAUCAGUAUUUAAUAAAAUUCCAAAGAUAAAAGUGCUAGUACUAUAUGAAUUCAGUGGUGAAUUUUACUAAACAUUUAAGGAAGAUAUGACACCAAUUGUCUACAACCUCUUCCAGAAAAGAGAAGCAAAGAGAACACUUUCCAACACAUCCUAUGAGGCUAGAAUUACACUAAUCCCCCAAACCAGAUAAAGACAUCAUAAAACAAAUGGGAAACAACAGACCCACGUCUCUUCUGGACAUACAUGCAAAAAGUCCUCAGUAAAAUAUUAGUAAAUUGGAUCUAACAGCAAAUAGGAUUAUGCAUUGUGGCUAAGUAGGAUCUAUCCCUAAUGUGCAUGGUUAAAAUCCAACAAUAUCAGAAGCUGGUGAAAAUACAGACUCCCAGGAACUCUCAUUCAUUGAUGGUGGGAAUACAAAAUGGCACAGCCUCUUUGGAAGAUAGUUGGGUAGUUUCUAAGCAUGGUCUUACCAGUAAACUUCUUGGUAUUUACCCAACUGAGUUGACAACUUGUAUCCAUUAACACACUCAAAAAAACCCCGGAACAUAAAUGUUUAUAGCAGUCUUAUUCCUAAUUGACCACCCUGGAAGCAGUCAAAAUGUUUAUCAAUAGGGAAUGGAUGAACAAACUUUGGUAUAUCCAUACAGUGAAAUAUUAUUCAGGGACAAAAGAAAAUGAACUAUCAAACCACAAAAAGAUAUGGAAGACUCUUCAAUGCAUAUUGCUAAGUGAAAUAAACGAGUCUGAAAAGAAUACACAUUGUAUUAUUCCACUGUAUGUCUUUCUGGAAAACUGUAGAGACAUAGAAAAACAUAGAGAUAAAAAAGAUCAGUGGUUACAGGGGUUGGAGGGGAGAGAGGAAGGAUGAAAUUGAGGCAUAAGACAAUGAAACUGUUCUAUGUGAUGCUAUAUUGGUGGGUGUAUGAAAUCUGUUAAAGUCUAUAGAAAUGUACAACUUUAUUAUAAGUGAUGGGUUUUUAUUCAAUAAUAAUAUACUCAUACUGUUUAAUUGAUUUAGCAAAUGUACUAUACUAACCCAAGUUGUUAAUAAAAGAGGAAACUCUGGGAGAGGGGAGUGUGUGGGAGCUUUGUAUUAUCUGCCUUGUUCUUCUGCAAAUCUAAAACUGCUUUAAAAGUAAAGUCUAUUAAUUAUAAAGGACAAAAAUAUUCAAAAUAAUAAUAUAUGUUUAAUUUCAGUUUGCCUGUAACAUACUCAGAAAUCCAUGUCAUUGAAACAAAUUUCAGUUUUGGAAUAAUCAGAUUGUCCAAAAGAGGGUGCCAAAGACUUAUAAAGAUCUCUUCUUUGGCUAUGCAAAAGGAAGUUAAAUAAUAAAAUAGACUUAAUAGAACAAAAAGCAGAAGGCUGGAGCAUAAGUCAACAGGCAUGAUACUUAUCUACAUCUUGCCUAAGACUUCUAUCCUCCUUCCUUAAGAUUCCGAUCCAUUAUCUUUGUUCUUUGGUGCUACUGCUUUGCUGUGUAUGAAGGUGUAAUGUACCCUGAUGAUACUCAGCUAUGAUGUGGACUCCAAAGGGGCCUGCGGUAAGCUGGUUGUGACAAUUACAUUUGACUCUGUUUUGAACAACUAUGGACAUAGGCUUGUAUAAAUUGUCUUUAAAUGGGAGUUUUGCAGAUUUAUGUUUUUUCCAACUUACAAUAUUUGCAGUGAUAUAAAUUCUUCUUUUCACUUUUUGACAAAGCCUUUAAGAAUUCAAUCUUGAAUUUCUCUGUUCCUAGCACCCUAAGUCAUAGAGGCUAUAAUCUGCGACUAAGUAUAAAGGCACCAACACAAUUCAUUCUUCAAGAUACCUUUUGACAAGUAAUUUUGUCGAGGACGGAAUCUCCUUGUUAGGGUAAUAAUAUCACAGGUCAAACUCCUGCUCAUUUUUCAGGUUGUGGCACAGAGGUCACUUUUUCUUUGAAGACUUUUUUCAACGUCUAUUUAUUUUUGGGACAGAGAGAGACAGAGCAUGAAUGGGGGAGGGGCAGAGAGAGAGGGAGACACAGAAUCGGAAACAGGCUCCAGGCUCUGAGCCAUCAGCCCAGAGCCCGACGCGGGGCUCGAACUCACGGACCGCGAGAUCGUGACCUGGCUGAAGUCGGACGCUCAACCGACUGUGCCACCCAGGCGCCCCUGAAGACUUUUUUGAAUCCACCUAGCACAGCUUGGCCCCUCUUCCUUCGGUUCUGCUUCCUCUGCUCUUAGCAUGCACGUGAAUUGAGUAUUGAAACAGUAUCUGCAGUUUACUGUCUACAUUAACAUGACUUUAUUAUUCCAUUGCCUUUGACAUAACUUCAAUCUUUCAUGAGACUCCUUCCCAGGAAGAUACAGCUUUUAAAAAACGUUUUCAUUCCAAGGUCUUCCAGAUAGUUCUGUCAGCUCAUUAAUAGAAACCAUCUGUGGACAGUUUACAUCAGACUCUGAAAUCCCUCACCUCAACACUCUUGCAUUGCUGUGCCCACUAAUUCUAAGCCAUUACAUCGUGAUUCCUACUCAGUAGUAAUCAAGCCUCCACACUGAAAGACCUGCCUUAAAUCGGACUUCAAAAUCUCAGAAAAUAUCCUGACUUUGUCCUUCCCUCUCCAGGACAUUACUAAGACUCUGCUGACCCAGUGUUCUCUGUCACCAUGGUGUUCUGGUGGUUGUAGAAAGCACAGGUACUUCUUGGGUCAUUGGGUCUGGGAGAAGCCAGCUGUUCUGCCAUGAGGACUUUCAUACAGCCUGCCAGAGACAUCCAUGAAGUGAGGACAUAUGACUUCCUGCAAACAACCAGUACCAACUUGACAUUGCAUUAGUGAGUCACCUUGGAGUUCAUUCUCCAGCCGCAUUUAAGCUUUCAUAUUAUUGUAGUCCUGGCCAAUAUGCCAAGUGCAAUGUCAUGAGAGACACUGAGUUAGAAGUACCCUUUCAAUUUGUCCUGAAUUCCUUACCCACUGAAAUGGUAGAUUUUCCACUUCUUGCCAUGUUGAAGUAACUGGUGCUGGGCUUGUCUUGCUAUAAAAAAUGUAAAAAUUUUUAAAAACUGGAAAAACGUACGAAACAAUGGUUUUUCAGAAAUUGGGCAAUAGGCGGUGAAGGACUAUGAUCCAGGGAAAGGGAAAGAAAUGACGUGAGCCCUACAAUUGCUCUGGCUACAGUUACAUGGAGAUCUUUUGUGUUCUUUGGCACCAGAAAGGAUAACCCAGGCAGAGUAUAACAUUCCCAUUGAGUUGAGAAGAUAGAGAUUAGAGUCUGGGGAAGAUGAAGUGGGUGGAAUUUGCAGGGCAGGGUACUCAAGAAGAGGGAGUCAUGCAGAAAACGGUUCCAAAGGUCAGAAUAGGGGUCCUCUUGCAUCUGUUGCUGAACACUGGGCUUCACAUAUGUGGGAUGUGAAAGCGCCACAGGGCAGCACAAAGAACAGCUCGGGAGCUGGAAGCCCAGCAACUUCUAGAACUCACCUAUGGCUGGGGUACAGUUUCCACUAAACCUUACUGCUUGGUCGACAGAGACAGGCUUUAGUAAUAAGGCCCAACUGAUGGGCCACCUGGGUGGCUCAUUCGGUGAAGUGUCUGACUCUUGGUUUGAGCUUAGGUCAUGAUCUCACAGUUCGUGAGUUUGACAAGCUCUGCAUCGGGC